UCUUCGUUUCGGAGACCACCAUCCCCUUGGACUACUCCGAUCUACUGAACAAACUGUGCAUUGUUCUGCCUCCUACAAAUGCACUUGCUAGAUUACGGACUCCACGUCAAUACAGCCCCUGCUGCACCACUCAAGGCCUAGCAACAUGCUGAACUCGUUGCACACUUCAGCCUCCUACGGACGUAUCCUUCAUAUGCCGAAGAGAAAGUUUCAAUGCUCCAUGGCGCCGAGUUUCAAUCGCCUUGGGAUGGCCGCGAACAUUCCAUCGUCCGCAUACAAGCCCAUGCAUGAGUACCGAAUUCUUUGAGUUAGCAA
This 315-nucleotide long non-coding RNA is filed under the name Musa acuminata (dwarf banana). RNAcentral's name for it is "long non-coding RNA (MACU_LNC010203)". The record is from RNAcentral. Lineage: Eukaryota; Viridiplantae; Streptophyta; Magnoliopsida; Zingiberales; Musaceae.